CCCCUGGUAGCUCAGUUGGUAGUAGCGCCUGUUUGAAAAACAGGAGGUCGUCGGUUCGAUUCCGACCUGGGGGG
This 74-nucleotide transfer RNA is filed under the name Nostoc sp. RNAcentral's name for it is "tRNA-Phe". It matches the Rfam family "tRNA". From Rfam's summary of the family: Transfer RNA (tRNA) molecules are approximately 80 nucleotides in length. RNAcentral also lists the same sequence under 1 other name. The record is from RNAcentral. Lineage: Bacteria; Bacillati; Cyanobacteriota; Cyanophyceae; Nostocales; Nostocaceae.